GAUGAACGCUGGCGGCGUGCCUAAUACAUGCAAGUCGAGCGAACGGACGAGAAGCUUGCUUUUCUGAUGUUAGCGGCGGACGGGUGAGUAACACGUGGAUAACCUACCUAUAAGACUGGGAUAACUUCGGGAAACCGGAGCUAAUACCGGAUAAUAUUUUGAACCGCAUGGUUCAAUAGUGAAAGACGGUUUUGCUGUCACUUAUAGAUGGAUCCGCGCUGCAUUAGCUAGUUGGUAAGGUAACGGCUUACCAAGGCAACGAUGCAUAGCCGACCUGAGAGGGUGAUCGGCCACACUGGAACUGAGACACGGUCCAGACUCCUACGGGAGGCAGCAGUAGGGAAUCUUCCGCAAAGGGCGAAAGCCUGACGGAGCAACGCCGCGUGAGUGAUGAAGGUCUUCGGAUCGUAAAACUCUGUUAUUAGGGAAGAACAUAUGUGUAAGUAACUGUGCACAUCUUGACGGUACCUAAUCAGAAAGCCACGGCUAACUACGUG
This 497-nucleotide ribosomal RNA is filed under the name uncultured bacterium. Its description in RNAcentral is "partial 16S ribosomal RNA". It matches the Rfam family "Bacterial small subunit ribosomal RNA", at positions 28 to 507 of the family's 1533-position model. The record is from RNAcentral.